This 497-nucleotide ribosomal RNA is filed under the name uncultured bacterium. RNAcentral describes it as "partial 16S ribosomal RNA". It matches the Rfam family "Bacterial small subunit ribosomal RNA", at positions 28 to 507 of the family's 1533-position model. The record is from RNAcentral.
GAUGAACGCUGGCGGCGUGCCUAAUACAUGCCAGUCGAGCGAACGGACGAGAAGCUUGCUUCUCUGAUGUUAGCGGCGGACGGGUGAGUAACACGUGGACAACCUACCUAUAAGACUGGGAUAACUUCGGGAAACCGGAGCUAAUACCGGAUGAUAUUUUGAACCGCAUGGUUCAAAAGUGAAAGACGGUCUUGCGGUCACUUAUAGAUGGAUCCGCGCUGCAUUAGCUAGUUGGUAAGGUAACGGCUUACCAAGGCAACGAUGCAUAGCCGACCUGAGAGGGUGAUCGGCCACACUGGAACUGAGACACGGUCCAGACUCCUACGGGAGGCAGCAGUAGGGAAUCUUCCGCAAUGGGCGAAAGCCUGACGGAGCAACGCCGCGUGAGUGAUGAAGGUCUUCGGAUCGUAAAACUCUGUUAUUAGGGAAGAAAAUAUGUGGAAGUAACUGUGCACACCUUGACGGUACCUAAUCAGAAAGCCACGGCUAACUACGUG